Molecule: unclassified non-coding RNA, 1679 nt
Filed under: Hevea brasiliensis (rubber tree)
Lineage: Eukaryota; Viridiplantae; Streptophyta; Magnoliopsida; Malpighiales; Euphorbiaceae
Source: RNAcentral
AGAGAGAGAUGGAGCCGAGAUUCCUCAUGAAAGUGACACAAAGUACAAAGAGGAAAGAAUCUUGUUCCUCACUGACUUGACAUGCACCACAUUUGAUACCACUUAAAAAGCUUCAGUUUAGAAACUCCAUCAAGGUAUGCUUGGUUUCAGCAGCAUAUCUGAAAGCUAGCAUCAACUAAUCCUGUUUUAAAGCAUUAUUUGAAUGGACUGGCAUAAAUUCACUACAAAAAAUAAGACUUUCUUGUGCCUGUGUGGAAAUCGCAUUAAUCCAUAUUGCAAAUAAAACUUUGCUGGGAGAUUAUGAUUAAGUUGAUAAUCAGUCAUAUGACUCUCAUCAGUGGGAUAUUUCACUAGAUGCACACUUGUCAUACAUAGGUUAGUAGGGAAUGUUUGAUUCCUUGGGGUCUCCCUACCUGAUUAAUUUAUCAUCCUUGAAGAAAAGAACUUAUCUAAAGGAUUGAGAAAGGAAUCUCCCCAAACCAAAAGAAGUCGAUAGUUAUAUGGCUGGCCAUAAUUAAGAGUUUGCACAAACUGAGAAGAACCUAAAUAACUAUUACCUUAUCUGUCACCCUAGAUAGGUGUCUAGCACAGGCUUGACUAGCCUAUUUUGGUAAAUUCUGCAGUCACCUUGUUUGUUCUAGGAGAAGUUGAAACUAGAAAUUUCUUAAGAGGCAUCGAGCAGCCAUGAACAACAGAGACGGAAGCAAUGAUUCCUUGAGUGAGAAGUCGAUGAAGAUGGUGGUAAACAUCAUUAAACUUUCUUCUUUUUCUAUUGCUAAGAUGAGUCUUGGAGCAGCUGGGCCUACAGUUGUUACCAAAAGCCUGGCACCUGUGACAGGCUCUGUCUCGGAUGCUAAUGAACCAUUACUGCCUUAUAUUCAUAGAAGCCCAAAGUCACAACAGGUAAGGAGCAGAUCAAAUCCUUUCUCAUUUGUGAUGCAGCCUGAUGAAGGGAACGGAUCUUCUUCAUAUAUGAUUCAUGAGGAGAACAGUGUUAUAGAUGGAAUGACUUCUGACUAUAUCAAGAAAUUCCAUGAGAAGAAUAGCUACGAUGCACAUCUCCAUUAGACAUCAAAACUUUCUCCAGACAACCCAUCAUCCAUCACGAGCAGUGAAGUAGCCAUCUCGAGCUGGUUCCGUAUUUCAAUAUGUACCUUUAUCUGCUAUAAUUAAUGUUUAAACUUCUAAAUUUGCUUGGGCUAGUUGCUUAUUAUUAUCUUCUUUUUGUUGCUACUGUUUUUCUCAAGAAUACAUUCCUUAUGCUUGUUGUUUACUGGGUUUUACUUUCUUGCCUACCAAGGAGGAUUUUGUGCUGUAAUGGACUUGGCGGGAAAAGCGAAAAAGUCAGUCAGCUUAAUUACGUCAGCAAGUUAGUUGUGGUUAACUUAUCUUGUUGGUUGCAACUGACAGCUAAAGUGUAGUUCUUCUUCUUCCUCCCUUUUUCUGAUAGUUCUGUAGUUGCUGCAACUCUUUUAGGCUUAAGCUCACUCAUGAGCUAAGAGUCAUAACCGAUUCAUGGUCCUAAACAGACGUUAUAUGGCAAAAUAUGUGCAAAUAUGCAAAUAUGCCAUGUCUUUUAUUUGCUGUACCUAAAUAAUUGCUUUGAUUAUUGACUUGCUGCUAAUGCUCAGACAAUUUAAAGUAUUUCUGUGCAAUUACUGGUUAGAAAACGAAUAAAA